GGUUCUUUAGUUCAGAAGGAUAGAACAUUUGCCUCCUAAGCGAAAACCGCUGGUUCGAGUCCAGCAAGAACCA
RNAcentral lists this transfer RNA (73 nucleotides) under Lactococcus lactis. RNAcentral describes it as "tRNA-Arg". It matches the Rfam family "tRNA". Rfam says of the family: Transfer RNA (tRNA) molecules are approximately 80 nucleotides in length. Their secondary structure includes four short double-helical elements and three loops (D, anti-codon, and T loops). Lineage: Bacteria; Bacillati; Bacillota; Bacilli; Lactobacillales; Streptococcaceae. The record is from RNAcentral. RNAcentral also lists the same sequence under 2 other names.